Molecule: unclassified non-coding RNA, 353 nt
Filed under: soil metagenome
Description: partial contains 5.8S ribosomal RNA, internal transcribed spacer 2, and large subunit ribosomal RNA
Rfam family: 5.8S ribosomal RNA (bases 1-119)
Source: RNAcentral
GAUGAAGAACGCAGCGAAAUGCGAUACGUAAUGUGAAUUGCAGAAUUCAGUGAAUCAUCGAGUCUUUGAACGCACAUUGCGCCCCCUGGCAUUCCGGGGGCAUGCCUGUCCGAGCGUCAUUUCUGCCCUCCAGCCCGGCUGGGUGUUGGGCGCUGUCCCCCCGGGGACACGCCCCAAAGGCAGUGGCGGCGCCGCGUCGGGUCCUCGAGCGUAUGGGGCUUUGUCACCCGCUCGGGACGGACUCGUCGGCGCUGGUCUUCCUCCAGGCGACCCUUCGGGGCUCGUCUUCCUUCGGUUGACCUCGGAUCAGGUAGGGUUACCCGCUGAACUUAAGCAUAUCAAUAAGCGGAGGA